UGAACGCUGGCGGCGUGCUUAACACAUGCAAGUCGAACGAAAGGACGGGAAGAGCUUGCUCUUUCCGGAAUUGAGUGGCAAACGGGUGAGUAACACGUAAACAACCUGCCUUCAGGAUGGGGACAACAGACGGAAACGACUGCUAAUACCGAAUAAGUUCCAAGAGCCGCAUGGCCCAUGGAAGAAAAGGUGGCCUCUACCUGUAAGCUAUCGCCUGAAGAGGGGUUUGCGUCUGAUUAGCUGGUUGGAGGGGUAACGGCCCACCAAGGCGACGAUCAGUAGCCGGUCUGAGAGGAUGAACGGCCACACUGGAACUGAGACACGGUCCAGACUCCUACGGGAGGCAGCAGUGGGAAUCUUCCGCAAUGGGCGAAAGCCUGACGGAGCAACGCCGCGUGAGUGAUGACGGCCUUCGGGUUGUAAAACUCUGUGAUCCGGGACGAAAAGGCAGAGUGCGAAGAACAAACUGCAUUGACGGUACCGGAAAAGCAAGCCACGGCUAACUACGUG
Molecule: ribosomal RNA, 510 nt
Filed under: uncultured bacterium
Lineage: Bacteria
Description: bacterial SSU rRNA
Rfam family: Bacterial small subunit ribosomal RNA
Source: RNAcentral